UUAUUAUGGCAGCACAUAUACUAAAAUUGGAAUGAUACAGAGAAGGUUAGCAUAACCCCUGAGUAAGGAUAACACGCAAAUUCGUUAACUGUUCCAUAUUUUU
This is a small nuclear RNA of Eptesicus fuscus (big brown bat), 103 nucleotides long. The record is from RefSeq and is a predicted model, not a curated record. NCBI's taxonomy places the organism in Eukaryota, Metazoa, Chordata, Mammalia, Chiroptera, Vespertilionidae.